Molecule: unclassified non-coding RNA, 140 nt
Filed under: uncultured fungus
Lineage: Eukaryota; Fungi
Description: sequence contains ITS1, 5.8S rRNA gene
Source: RNAcentral
UCAAGUACCGAGUAGCCACGCUACUCAAACACCAAUGUGAAUUGACACUGGGUAUGUUCAAUUUAUUGAGUAUGCCCAUCUGUCUAUCUCUGAGGAGAUACAUAAACCAUUAAACGAGUCGGAUAAAACACUAAAACAAA